CGUAAAGAGCUCGUAGGUGGUUUGUCGCGUUGUUCGUGAAAUCUCACGGCUUAACUGUGAGCGUGCGGGCGAUACGGGCAGACUUGAGUACUGCAGGGGAGACUGGAAUUCCUGGUGUAGCGGUGGAAUGCGCAGAUAUCAGGAGGAACACCGGUGGCGAAGGCGGGUCUCUGGGCAGUAACUGACGCUGAGGAGCGAAAGCGUGGGGAGCGAACAGGAUUAGAUACCCUGGUAGUCCACGCCGUAAACGGUGGGUACUAGGUGUGGGUUUCCUUCCUUGGGAUCCGUGCCGUAGCUAACGCAUUAAGUACCCCGCCUGGGGAGUACGGCCGCAAGGCUAAAACUCAAAGAAAUUGACGGGGGCCCGCACAAGCGGCGGAGCAUGUGGAUUAAUUCGAUGCAACGCGAAGAACCUUACCUGGGUUUGACAUGCACAGGACGCCGGCAGAGAUGUCGGUUCCCUUGUGGCCUGUGUGCAGGUGGUGCAUGGCUGUCGUCAGCUCGUGUCGUGAGAUGUUGGGUUAAGUCCCGCAACGAGCGCAACCCUUGUCUCAUGUUGCCAGCGGGUAAUGCCGGGGACUCGUGAGAGACUGCCGGGGUCAACUCGGAGGAAGGUGGGGAUGACGUCAAGUCAUCAUGCCCCUUAUGUCCAGGGCUUCACACAUGCUACAAUGGCCGGUACAAAGGGCUGCGAUGCCGCGAGGUUAAGCGAAUCCUUUUAAAGCCGGUCUCAGUUCGGAUCGGGGUCUGCAACUCGACCCCGUGAAGUCGGAGUCGCUAGUAAUCGCAGAUCAGCA
Molecule: ribosomal RNA, 797 nt
Filed under: uncultured bacterium
Lineage: Bacteria
Description: bacterial SSU rRNA
Rfam family: Bacterial small subunit ribosomal RNA
Source: RNAcentral